CAGUAGCCGCGGGAAUACAGAGGGUGCGAGCGUUAAUCGGAUUUACUGGGCGUAAAGCGUGCGUAGGCGGCUUCUUAAGUCGGAUGUGAAAUCCCUGAGCUUAACUUAGGAAUUGCAUUCGAUACUGGGAAGCUAGAGUAUGGGAUAGGAUGGUAGAAUUCCAGUUGUAGCGGUGAAAUGCGUAGAGAUCUGGAGGAAUACCGAUGGCGAAGGCAGCCAUCUGGCCUAAUACUGACGCUGAGGUACGAAAGCAUGGGGAGCAAACAGGAUUAGAUACCCCCGUAGUCCCUGUCUCUUAUAC
Molecule: ribosomal RNA, 301 nt
Filed under: uncultured bacterium
Lineage: Bacteria
Description: partial 16S ribosomal RNA
Rfam family: Bacterial small subunit ribosomal RNA
Source: RNAcentral